Musca domestica (house fly) is the source of this 10107-nucleotide long non-coding RNA. RefSeq lists it as uncharacterized. The record is from RefSeq and is a predicted model, not a curated record. The transcript is spliced from 12 exons. NCBI's taxonomy places the organism in Eukaryota, Metazoa, Arthropoda, Insecta, Diptera, Muscidae.
GUUGUUGUUGAUGUGGUUGCUGCUGCUACUAUUGUAGUGUUGUCGCUGCUGCUAUUGUUGAUGCUGCUGUUAUUGUUGCUGCUAGUGUUGUCACUGCUGCUGGUUUUGUCACUGCUGCUGGUGCUGUCACUUUUUCUUGAUGUUGCUGAUGUCGCUGCUAAUCCUUCGCAGCCCAGAUUAUUUCGAAGCCUGGUGACUUAUUAUUUCAAGGUUCAGUCAAUGCCCGUUGGCCAGUUAAAUAAUUGCUUAAGGCGAGUCUUAAGACGUUGCGCCUUUUGCAAUAAUAUAUGACUUGAUAUUGAAUGCUCUUUUGUUUCCACAAGCCGUUGGGCGUUGUGCUCUUUAUUGUUAUCCAAAUCGAAUUAAAGCUAGAAAUAAUUUCAACUUAAUUCUAAAUAUCCAAAAUGCUGACUACGCGCUUGUGCGUUCGUUGACUGCUAGCAGUUGGCUACUUGCUGGAGUUGGAUGUUGAAGUAUCGGGUUGCAAGAAUUUCAUCUUAUGAUGUCUGCAAUAAGUGAUGACUUAGCACCAACAUCAUGCCGUCAACGCGUGUUUUAUGGAUGAAAAUGGAAUUUUUUUCAUAGUCUGGCAUAAGACUAAAGUUUACUGAAUUAAUGUUGCCAUAUUUUAUAUUGAUAGUAUGGCAAUACCAGCAAAAUGUAUUCAAAUAAAGAAAUGAUUCACUUCUAAUUUCUUUUAAAUUAAAAUGAAGAUACCAUUGUGAAAAAAUACAGUGACUACCAGCAACAUUUGCAAAUGAUUCUCAUUUUAUUGCCGUAUCUCUGAAAAAUACAUUUAUUAUCGGGUGCUUAUUUUUUUAUUGUCUUUCUCCUUCUUCGACAUGGUUGGCAGGUACCCGAAGUACACAUAUGCCAAGUACUGCUUGGUUAUUGAUUACUUAAUAAUCGUAUUUUGUUUUGUUUAUGUUUCUGCUAUCUCACAGUUAGAGAAAAUCAGAGUUGAAGAUUGCACUUGUGAAUGAAGUUUGAUAGUUCGAUGAAAUUUUCUGGCGAGAAUAUUUUUAGAAUUGAUGGUAAGUCCUUGUACCUUUCGAAGAUUUUAAAUUGUUUCCUUUCGUUGCAGAAUUUUGGGCAAACAAAAAUUUGGUGAUUCUCACUUUCAGUGAUUCCACAAAGUGUGCAGAUGUCUGAGCUCUCGAAUUUAAUGCGAUGUGACAUCUUGCUUGCUAAUGAACCAGUAAGAUUUUGGUGGUGUGUUGAAUUGUGAAAAAUAAUCAUAAAUUGCAGAGUAUGCGUCUGUAAUUGAAGCAUUGGUGGUAAUUAUAGAGCCAACUGUAGCUGCGUGCUUAGCAAAAUAAUCGACUAGUUCGUUUGCUGGUAUGCCAAUAUGCGAGGGAGUCCAUAUGAAAAUAAGCGAUUUUAUUUCAGAUGAAUCGCACUUUAGCGUUUUCUUCUGGUGGAUAUGGGCUUUGGUUGUUUGCUGAUUCUGGAAUGACUAUUUGUUAAAAUUUCUUUAAAACAUCAAGACCUUCUGUGCAAUUAAGAGACUAACUUUAGAAAAAUUUUGAUGAUCAAAUACUGCUUUGGAUGGAUUUACGUGGAUUGGUUUUGCAAUGGCAUCUUGAUUUUUAUACCCUACGCCACAAGGUGGUCAGGGUAUUAUGUCUUUGUGCAUUUGUUUGUAACAGGCAAAAGGAAACGAGAUAGACCCAUAGUUCCUUUUGAUGAUCUGCAUAGAAUCACAUUCUGAGUCGAUUUAUGCAAGUCCGUCUGUCCAUGUAUUUUUGUAAACAAAGUACAGUUCGCAUUUAUUGCCCUAUCCAGAUCAUUUGUUUGGCCCAAGGACGAACCCUAUUUGCAAUUGGAGAUAAUCGAUCAAAAUUUAGAUAUAGCUCCCAUAUAUAUCUUCGUCCGAUUUGCCCUUUUCUGUGCACCAAACAUCUAAUAUUUGUCCAAAUGGGAUGGAAUUUGGCACUUACGACCGAAUUGAGUCUAGAAGCUAGUAUGUCAAAUUUGGUGAAGAUCGGUUCAGAUAUAGCUAUAGCUCCCAUAUAUAAUGUUCAUCCGAUAUGUUAUAUUAGUUACCCACAGCCGUAAUAUGCACUCCGUAACAAGAUUUUCAGGGAAAUAUAUCAAAUACCACUCAGAAAUAUCUUUACCAAAUUUUAUCGAGAUCGGUUCCGAUUUGGAUAUAGCUCCCAUAUAUAUCUUUAUCCGAUUUCAAAUUAAAUGUGCACCAAAUGGGCAAUACAAGUCCGAAUUUAAAAGAUUCAAAUGCUUCGGCAUAUUGAGUCUUUUGAACUUUAAAUUAUAAUUAUAAUCGUAGCGUGUAUGAUUGAACUCUCCCAUAAAAACUUUUAAUUGUUAUGUGGAGCUCUACUAAAUUAGCAAAGUGGUGUAGGGUAUCAUAAAGUCGGCCCCGCCCGACUUUAAGACUUUCUUUACUUGUUUUUAUUGGAGUCGCAACUUUGCUAUAUUUAAUACUUGUACUCUUUUGUUAAUUGAAUCAUGUAUAUUAAUUUUUGGAGUCCUGUUUGUUAAGAGAGGCGGGAACUCAUUAUUAUAAUCAUGUGUAGAAAGAAUUUGGAAACGGUUUCUAGUCUCUGGAUAAUUUUCGAGUAUCUCCCUUCUAGAUAGGUUUGUUAGGGUCAUAAUGCUGCUGAUAUUUCUUUGAGACUUCCACUUCAAACACUUUUUGGUAUUUGUUGCAAAAUGAUCUGUUUUGUUGCAAAGUAUGCAUCUCGUGUGCAGGUUGUUGUAGAACGACAAUCUAAACAUAUAUCUUCCUUACUGCAAUAUGUGGCACAUAGAAUUUCUUUUCCACAGUUUAGACACUUCUUCGUCGACCUGCAACGAAGAGCAAUGUGGCCUAAACGACCGCAGUUUAAACACAGCCGAACAGGUGGUACAUACAAGCCCGGUGUUACUUUUGUUCCGCACAUAUAUAUUUUUGUAGGAAUUCCAUCAAAAAUAAUACCAAUCUAUAUUUUGUCAGAUUCAAAAUUGUUGAAAGUCAUUCGAAAAGUGUUAUAUCCCACAUACUUGCAAGCAUAGAUAGUGAGAUUGAUUUGCUUUAGACGUAUAUACAAAUGGAGUUUGCAGUUUUUUCUCCUAGAGCUGAUUGGCGUUUCUAACGACACUAUGACAUAAAAUGGCCCUGGAUGGUUUGGCGUGUACAGUAGAUUUCCAUUAUUUAGCGAAUUGUAAUUGCAUUUGGUGUCCAUUUUGUCCGUGGAUUGGGAUAAAAUUAUUUUAUUGGUGUUGGUGUUUUUUAUUGGUAUCCCCAAUAGGUGGAGGAGGGGGGUCUCCGACUCCCUCCAUAAUUGUUUAAAUAAAAAACUUGGCUAAAUUUUCACAAAAAUUUUCCAUAACCAAAAAGAAAACCACUUAAAAAGCAGUAUGUUUGGCCGGGUCGAACUUUGAAUACCCUCCACCAUUUGGAAAUUUUCAAAAAAUAUAAUCUGUUAAACUCUUAAAAAUACCGAAAAAGUUAUAUUGGGGUCUAUAAGAAUGUAGCCGUUAUAUUGGGGUUUACAUAGGCAUUGUUUGUCAUUUGAAACUUGAAAUAAACGGUGAAUACAGUAGCUGAAAUCAUCAGAAAAAUAUAAAUAUAGAGGGAGGUAUCGUUAUAUGGGAGCUAUACGAAGACCUGGUCCUGCAAAGACAACUUUCUGUCACAGGCUGUAGCAUCUAUUGCGAUCUUCAAAUACGACAUCUCAAACAAUUUCGUGUCUUUCGCAACAUUUAUGGUAAUGGUUCAUUCAAAUUUUGGAGAUUAUUGAAUCAUCAAUCAUGUUUACUCUUGUAAUCCGUCGCCCCAGAAUCUAUUUUGAAUACUAAAUCUUCAGACUUAUCUGUAAUUAUUUUACCAUCAGGUACCGCUGACAUGAAACAUAUUGACUUCGAAGCUAACGCUGACAAACGCGGCAAUUAUUUUGUUUAUGGCCCUUUUUCUUACAGCGGAAACACACACCAAGGCAUUUUUUCGACUUCUUCACACCACUAAACGCAGAUGUCGCGGAAGUAUCCAUGUCACAAGGAUCUUGCCUCUUCGUAUCAUCUUCUUCAUUCAUAUUUUUCAACGCGGCCACUACGGGUCAAAAGCUUCUGGUAGCGUGACAAAAAGUUGAGCAACGGUACUGAAACGCGUUAUUCGAUUCAGCAAAUAAAGAGCUUACUAUAGCGGCAUAUUUUUGGGCUAUUUUUUUUCCUACCAGCGAACAGAGGAAUAUGAGGUGGGGCCGCGAAAAGUAAAAUACGGAACUAGCCAGCGUACUUGUGCCCUCGCCUGGAUCAUAGUUGGAAUCACCGACCUGACCACCUUGAGCCGAAUUAGUUCCGACCGUGGAUGUCUUGAUGGUAAGUGUUCAAGAGGCAUAUUGUUGGCAGUAUUGUUUGGAAUGUGGAGCAAUUUGUAUAUUUAAGACAAGAGUUUAUAGUGAAUAAAUAAUAUAAAAAAUCAGUAUACACUAAAGACUAAACUAACUUUUCGUUGUCUAUAUUCUCAUUUGUCAUGGUAACAACCAUGGUAACAUUAAAAAUAACGUCUUGCAAUCAUAUGUUUGGUUUUAAACUAUGGCCGGUUAUUACAUCUUUCCGAUGGAUAAAAAAUUAUCUGGUUGACACAUAAACCGUUAUUCAUUAUUACAUGUUUCAUUUAAGUAUGAACCAUCCGAUAAGCAAAGUACUAUUAUCACUUCUUCAUUUACUGAUUUAAUUUUGCCAUAUUCUAUGUUGAUAAUAUGGCAAUAACAAAAAUUUUUUUUAAAUAAGAAAUGGAUAGCGCUGACCGUUUAUUUUAUAUUGAAGAACUGAAUUAUAGAUUUAUUUCACGAAAUUAAUUACAAUUUCGUUUUGUUUAUUAUUUUUAAACACUAAGUGCUGGGGGUAUUAUAGUUUGAUCGGCACACAUGUGACUCCUCGAUAUCUUGGUUCUGAAUAUAGUAAUGUAUAUAUGUAUUUUCCCAUCUCGCCGAACUGACUCAAGUUGCAAUUGUGAUCCAAUUCCCCCAAAUAGAACACCAGUGUAAGCCAUUUCUAAGUGUUCGUUUACUCAAUCUGUACUUUUGUCAUGGAAGAUAAGGAGGUAAAUAGAUACACUUUCCAGCUAAUCGAAAACGAAAACUUCUUCGGCCAUAUGUCCCAGUUUUGAUUUCCUUCGGCUUGAUUUUACCCCUUUCGUGCACAAUAAACAUUAUAAACAUGAAAUCGGAUGAAGAUAUAUCUAAAUCUGAAUCGUUUUCCACAAAUAGAUCUAAAGUUUAUCCAUAAGAUUACAAAACCCUUCUGUGUGAAAACUGACCCACAUUUUUUACAUAAUGCAGAUGCUGCUGAUCAUUCUUUUUGUUAAAAUGUUGUAGACACUACGUUAUUUCUAGUAAUACUUCAAAGUUGAAAUGAAUGAAUAUUUAUUCUAAUCAUAAAAUUAUUCUAAACCAAGAAUGUUUUUUUAAUUUCUUUUCUUUCUACAAAACAUGGCGUUGGAAAAGGGAUAAGCUAUACUGAACUCAUCGGGUGCAUAAGCAUCAACAUAACAUAAUUUUUCCUGGACUAUGAUUAGCGUAGGCUACACCCACUGCACUUUUUGUUUGUUUUUUUUUUUCAACACAUGUAAAUCCUCGGUGUGUGUCUAUCUCUGUAUGUACAGAGAUAGGGCAAUAACAAAAGACUUGGACAGAAACUUGUACAAAGGCUCACAUUCUAAUUCUGUAACUAAAUGUGACGAUAUUGUUGUUGGUCAUAUACUACAAUACUAUAUUUUACAAGCAUAGUACCACAUAUUGGACAAAUAACAGUGGAAAUGACGAAGAGCAAAAUAAUUUAAAUAAAUAAAUGGACACCGAGAAUCAACUUAUUCUAUUAUUGCACUUAAUAAAAAUUAUUGCACUAUAGAAUAAAAGUCUCGGCUAUUUGCUAAUCGCACCUCACUAUGAAACUAUUUUUUUAUAUCCUUGGCAUGAUAAGCUCACGAAGCGUCGAAUUUUGAUGUUUAUAAUCUGUACAUAUUGUUACCAAGUACUUCAAAGACUCGACACAUAGUAAAUUUACUGCAAAAAUUGGCAUUGUAGUUAUCCUGAAAUUUGCUAAGUACAAAAUUACGUUUGUAAUUUUCCUGUCUGGGACUAAAACGUACGACUCUUGCCCUUCUAUUGUAUCGGAUCGCACUUCUCUCGUAAGCUUGAUGCAAAUUUUUUGAUUCUGUAUCUUAUUAUACUGAUCCUAUUAUUCUGAUAUUGUAAUAACAAUUCCGUAUCGCUUAUAGUCUUUCCCGCAAGUAAACAUAUUGUGGCCAAAUAAGUAAAAAAAACGGUGUUACCCCUGCGUGGACUGACGUUCGUAGCGCUAGGUCUAUUUUUGCGUUGGAUUGUUGGCGUUGGAUUGCAGUGCACAGUCAGCGAUCCUGAUAGGGUCUAUCUGGAAGUCUUUCAUCGUUUUCUGAAAUUAUUUAGAAACGAAUUGCUUCCCGUUGUCGGUGUGAAUCACCUCCAGAAAAUUUGGUUAGGUGAUCCACUAUAACCGGAAUAUAAACAUUCCCCUUUCCUGAACGUGGGUACUUUCCCAAGAAAUCUAUAUAAAGUCUUUGGCACGGGCGGUCUGUCUGUACUUCAUUUCCAAUUUGAGCCAUCAUAUGUAUGUUGCAUACUUUGCAGUUUUUUAUAAAGUUGCUUACGUGGACAAUCAUAUUGGGCCAAUAAUAUUUAAAUUUGAGGUUCGUGGACCAUUUGAAUAGGCUUUUCGGAACCCACAGUUUCCACUAAAAUACUUCUAGUUCCAUUUCGACUCCGGGUGCUGUUGUUUUAAAUACCAUACCAUGUUCCACAUUUAUGUGUGGAAAUUGCUCUUUAUUGUCCUCUAUUGUUUUAUUAAGUCCAUAUAUUCUUCAGAAUUCUAUGUCGAAAUCGAACAUCUGCAAAUUUAGCUCCCACAGUGCUAACCUGCCAUUUAGAUCCCGUAGAGCCAUAAGCCGCUUUAGAUUCAGCCGGCGACUCCUAUAAAGCUUCGUACUUCUCUAACAUUUUUAGGAGCAGGGAUUUUUCUAAUAGCAUCCACUUUAGAAUGGUCCGGCUUCAUGACACCUCAUCCGACCAUGAAUCCUAAGUAGUAUACUUCUUUAUGACAACGUUCUGACUUAUUUAUCCCUAUCCAAAUAAGCAUUUGGCCACUUUCCCUAAAAGUCACAAGUCUGCAUAACCUUUGUGUCGCAUUACACAGACCGAACGGCAUAGCCACAUACUGGAACAAAGGACCUCCAGAUACUGCGAUUGUGGUAUAAUGCCUGGAUUUUGGGUCCAACUCAAUCUACAAAAUGCAAACAAAGGUCCACAUUGUCCUCAAGUCUGCUAAGUAUGCCCUCGAAGUUUUGGAUGGGGUAUGCGUCUUUAACUGUGCGCUCGUUUAACUUCCUCGCAUCGAAACAUAAACGAUUUUUCGGGGUUUUCGGUUUCGAAGCAUUUUAUCUACUUAUGUAUAAGUGAGAAUCUGGACCGCUGAAGAUACCGGGUAAUAUCUAUCUUCAUCUGAAUGGGAACCUUCCUUUAACGGUAUGUACCUCCUAAUUCGUCUUCACAAGACCAUAUUCAUCGUAAGUAUUAAAUAUCUUUUUCAAAUUCACCAAAUUUGAACAUCUCAUCGCAAAGUUCAUGUUCAGAAUUCUCACUUAUUAAUGAAGUAUAGUCUUGUAAUACUCCCUCACUGAUUUCCUCUAUACCAAAAGAUUUGGGCUAGUUUACAUUUGUUAAGAAAUAUACAUACCCCAAAUUAGCAGACGACAGACGUUCAAGUUUGAACUGAUUGCUUAACAGGUCUACACAUUUCAUUUUCAUUUUUAAAUGUAUUCCUAACUUACUUAUUUUACUAGAGACAUUUUUGCUAAUAUUUUCUUCCUUACUACUAACAAUGUUAUUUAGAUCCUCAACUAUAUAUCUUGCGCUAACAUCUACUUCGUCCUGUUGUACACUCGUGGUGUUUUCAUGGGGGUUUAUGUACAAUUCCAUAGCUAUCCUCCUCACUAUUAAAUAUUCUAUAUUUGAUUUUUGGUGAAAGGUUAGAAAGGUAUAACUCUGCUUGCACCAAAACUCAAAUACCUUUUCCAUUUCUUUUCUUUAACUAUCAUCCCUCUUUUAAUUAUUUCUUUCUUUUUCUGAUUACCUGAAUUAUCCCAAGCUACCUACACACUCUGGACCAUAUUUAUUGUUCGGGAGUUGGAAUCGGAUGCAUCUCUCCCGGCUUCGAACUGCCCUUCAUGCCGUUUUCCACACACUUGAGGCACAGAAUGCACUGUGAAAUCGGACACUUGAUACAGAUAUGUUCAUAUGCUUGACAGUUCCAACAGGCUUUGCUAAGUUUUAUUUCUUCAACAAAUCCAACCUCGUUAUCACUUUGGGUUUGUGACUGUUCCUCGAUGUAUACUUAAUUUACCGCAACUGGUCGAUUGUAUAUAUUUUCAUAGAGUAUAUGAUAUGGGAUAAAUCAGCAUGCAAAUUUCUCAUCACAAUCCUUAUCAUGUCUACUUCGGGUAAUGGAGUACGUAGUUUGGCUCGAAGUUUUUUAAUGCCUGGAAAUAUUCAUCAAUGAUUUAUUUUUUAUUUUGAGCAAAUAAUCAGUAAACUCCAUGAUAGAUGACAUAAUACUUAUAUACAUAAUGUUUAUUUUGGCUUGGCCAAAAUUUUGUUAAAAUAUCAUUAAAUGGUUAGUGGAUUGCUAUUUAAUUUUUCAAUGUCAGUAACUCUUUAGUGGUAAUGAAAUUCUAAUAGCACUAGCACUAAUUAUUUAAUUCUUAGUGCACUAAAAAUUUCGUGCAAUAUGCCCAACCUGUUCGUGGUAUUAGAUGAAUAAUGGUCUUCUCGACGUAUCUUCAUUUGACUCCCUUCGUUCGAAUCCAGACGCCUGUGUGCCAUGUUUUCUGUAGUUCCAUGGGGUUUCACUGCAGCAUUCAUGAUUGGAUUUUGACUUCCCCCUAAGCCAUGUAACCUUGAUGAACCUUCGCUACCAUUUUCAUUCUGUUUGUUCUCUACAGUCACUUUAUUAAUCUCUUUCAUAACGCUUUAAAAAUCUGCCUGCGUAGUUUGGUGUAUCCUUGUUUCUAAUCUAUCCUCUAAUAGGUACUGAAACGCGUUAUUCGAUUCAGCAAAUAAAGAGCUUACUAUAGCGGCAUAUUUUUGGGCUAUUUUUUUCCUACCAGCGAACUGAGGAAUAUGAGGUGGGGCCGCGAAAAGUAAAAUACGGAACUAGCAAGCGUACUUGUGCCCUCGCCUGGAUCAUAGUUGGAAUCACCGACCUGACCACCUUGAGCCGAAUUAGUUCCGACCGUGGAUGUCUUGAUGGUUUGACCACAACGGACCACUUAUCCCUGGCCAACCUGGUUCCCUCUCUAUAACGCAGGACUACUUACUCUGUCGCCAAUCACUUUACGCGUUCUCUGCCUACGGGGAAUCUUCUGGGCACUAUAUGUCUGCUGGAACUUGGUCACAAAUGAUGAAGAACAGAAAAAAGCCUUCGUAUACAAAGAAAAAUUAUAAGGCAAAGGUCAGAUAUAUUUAACCUACCACAUAUCAAGUUUCAAAACCAUUUUCGCAUCAAUAAAGCAGCAUUUAAAUACUUGCUUGAUACUAUUGAGCCGAAAAUGAAGAAAAGUAUUCGGUAAACUUCUGUGUCCACCACAAUAAAGUUGGCUACAACUUUACGCUUUUUGGCACCGAGGAUGAGAAAGCCGAAGCAAAACUAGCUUUUUUUGAAAAAACAGGGUUUUCCAGGCGUCAUUGGAUGCAUAGAUGGGACCCACAUAAAGAUAAUUACACCGAAGAAGGAGAAGCAAAGCAUUUAUUAUAACCGUAAAGGAUUUUUUAGUUUAAAUGCUAUGAUUAUUUGCGAUCACAAAAUGCGGAUAAGGUAUUUGGAUGCUCAACAUGCUGGCUCAGCACAUGACUCCUUGAUUUGGAAUAUGAGCCACGCCAAACAAAUUUUGCGCGAACGUUAUGAUGGUGGUGACCGUAAUAGUUGGAUUUUAGGUGAUGCAGGCUAUCCGCUAGAGCCAUACCUGAUGACGCCAUAUCGUUCUUCUCAAGAAGGGAGUGCUGAGGCUGUUUUUAACAAUAAACAUGCCAAAGCAAGAAAUAUUAUUGAAAGAACCAUUGGUGUUUUAAAAAA